GCUUUUGUGGUGUAGUUGGUACGUCAGUCUAACACACACCGAUGGUCUCCAGUUCGAAACUAGGCGAAGCCA
RNAcentral lists this transfer RNA (72 nucleotides) under Helianthus annuus (common sunflower). RNAcentral's name for it is "tRNA HanXRQr2_Chr02g0053791". The record is from RNAcentral. Lineage: Eukaryota; Viridiplantae; Streptophyta; Magnoliopsida; Asterales; Asteraceae.